AACGAACGCUGGCGGCAUGCCUAACACAUGCAAGUCGAACGAUUGCCUUCGGGUGAUAGUGGCGCACGGGUGCGUAACGCGUGGGAAUCUGCCCUUAGGUUCGGAAUAACAGCUGGAAACGGCUGCUAAUACCGGAUGAUAUCGCGAGAUCAAAGAUUUAUCGCCUGAGGAUGAGCCCGCGUUGGAUUAGGUAGUUGGUGGGGUAAAGGCCUACCAAGCCGACGAUCCAUAGCUGGUCUGAGAGGAUGAUCAGCCACACUGGGACUGAGACACGGCCCAGACUCCUACGGGAGGCAGCAGUGGGGAAUAUUGGACAAUGGGCGCAAGCCUGAUCCAGCAAUGCCGCGGGAGUGAUGAAGGCCCUAGGGUUGUAAAGCUCUUUUACCCGGGAAGAUAAUGACUGUACCGGGAGAAUAAGCCCCGGCUAACUCCGU
RNAcentral lists this ribosomal RNA (434 nucleotides) under uncultured bacterium. RNAcentral describes it as "partial 16S ribosomal RNA". It matches the Rfam family "Bacterial small subunit ribosomal RNA", at positions 29 to 506 of the family's 1533-position model. The record is from RNAcentral.